RNAcentral lists this ribosomal RNA (253 nucleotides) under uncultured bacterium. RNAcentral's name for it is "partial 16S ribosomal RNA". It matches the Rfam family "Bacterial small subunit ribosomal RNA", at positions 524 to 776 of the family's 1533-position model. The record is from RNAcentral.
UACGUAGGGUGCGAGCGUUGUCCGGAAUUACUGGGCGUAAAGAGCUCGUAGGCGGUUUGUUGCGUCGGCUGUGAAAUCCCGAGGCUCAACCUCGGGUCUGCAGUCGAUACGAGCAAACUAGAGUGUUGCAGGGGAGACUGGAAUUCCUGGUGUAGCGGUGAAAUGCGCAGAUAUCAGGAGGAACACCGGUGGCGAAGGCGGGUCUCUGGGCAGUAACUGACGCUGAGGAGCGAAAGCGUGGGGAGCGAACAGG